AAGAACAUGCACAUAUGUACUCAUGUGUGCAUACAUACAUAUUGUCUGUGCAUAUACACACUUGUAUACACACACGUGUGCAUGAACACACUCA
RNAcentral lists this microRNA precursor (94 nucleotides) under Microtus ochrogaster (prairie vole). Its description in RNAcentral is "miRNA (ENSMOCG00000003540.1)". Lineage: Eukaryota; Metazoa; Chordata; Mammalia; Rodentia; Cricetidae. The record is from RNAcentral.